Molecule: ribosomal RNA, 879 nt
Filed under: uncultured organism
Description: bacterial SSU rRNA
Rfam family: Bacterial small subunit ribosomal RNA
Source: RNAcentral
GUUCUUUUCUUGGGGAGGAAUAAGCCUUGCAGGGAAUGGCAGGGUGAUGACGUUAACCGAGGAAAAAGCCCCGGCUAAUUACGUGCCAGCAGCCGCGGUAACACGUAAGGGACGAGCGUUGUUCGGAAUUAUUGGGCGUAAAGGGCGCGUACGCGGCAUAGCAAGUCAGGUGUGAAAGGUCUCAGCUCAACUGAGGAAACGCGCUUGAAACUGCUGUGCUGGAGUCUAGGAGGGGAAGCUGGAAUUCCUAGUGUAGGGGUGAAAUCUGUAGAUAUUAGGAAGAACACCGGUGCCGAAGGCGAGCUUCUGGCCAUAGACUGACGCUGAGGCGCGAAAGCGUGGGGAGCGAACAGGAUUAGAUACCCUGGUAGUCCACGCCGUAAACGAUGUGCACUGGGUGUCGGCCCGUUGGGGUCGGUGCCGAAGCUAACGCGAUAAGUGCACCGCCUGGGGAGUAUGCUCGCAAGGGUGAAACUCAAAAGAAUUGACGGGGGCCCGCACAAGCGGUGGAGCAUGUGGUUUAAUUCGAUGAUACGCGAGAAACCUUACCAGGGCUUGACAUUUGUAGGACAGCGUUGGAGACAACGCCUCUCUUCGGAGCCUAUAUACAGGUGCUGCAUGGCUGUCGUCAGCUCGUGCUGUGAAGUGUUGGGUUAAGUCCCGCAACGAGCGCAACCCCUGCCAUCUGUUGCCAGCAUUUAGGAUGGGGACUCAGAUGGAACUCCCGAGUGACAAACUCGGAGGAUAGCUGGGGACGACGUCAAGUCAUCAUGGCCCUUAUGUCCUGGGUUAUCACACGUGAUACAAUGAACGGUACAGACGCGCAGCAAGACCGAGAGGUCAAGCAAAUCGCUCACAAGCCGUUCUCAGUACAGAUUG